RNAcentral lists this ribosomal RNA (198 nucleotides) under uncultured bacterium. RNAcentral describes it as "partial 16S ribosomal RNA". It matches the Rfam family "Bacterial small subunit ribosomal RNA", at positions 328 to 539 of the family's 1533-position model. The record is from RNAcentral.
ACGCUCGACACCUACGGGAGGCAGCAGUGGGGAAUAUUGCACAAUGGGGGAAACCCUGAUGCAGCGAUGCCGCGUGAAGGAAGAAGUAUCUCGGUAUGUAAACUUCUAUCAGCAGGGAAGAAAAUGACGGUACCUGACUAAGAAGCCCCGGCUAACUACGUGCAAGCAGCCGCGGUAAUCUGAGCGGGCUGGCAAGGC